AUGCAUUUUUUUUUACGUCUCAGGACUUUGUGCUGCAAUCCCGUUGGGCCUUACUGUCUGAAGCAUCGGCCUUUUGCAACAUUUGAGUGGUCUGUUAUCAUCGCCCUACUGUCAAUUAUACUUAUUGCAUUGCAACAAAGAUAUUCCAACAACUAUUAUCAUCAUCCAAAUUUUGUUGGUUUCAUUAUUUUAAGUGGUGAUGAAGUUUUCUGUUAUUCCCAUUUUGAAUUGCGUCGGCAUGUGUUUGAAGUGCCAUUUGGUCUAUUGGGAUUUUAG
Vicia faba (fava bean) is the source of this 276-nucleotide non-coding RNA. NCBI's taxonomy places the organism in Eukaryota, Viridiplantae, Streptophyta, Magnoliopsida, Fabales, Fabaceae. The record is from the annotation of a GenBank genome assembly.